ACCUGCGGAAGGAUCAUUACCGAGUUUUCGAGCUCCGGCUCGACUCUCCCACCCUUUGUGAACGUACCUCUGUUGCUUUGGCGGCUCCGGCCGCCAAAGGACCUUCAAACUCCAGUCAGUAAACGCAGACGUCUGAUAAACAAGUUAAUAAACUAAAACUUUCAACAACGGAUCUCUUGGUUCUGGCAUCGAUGAAGAACGCAGCGAAAUGCGAUAAGUAAUGUGAAUUGCAGAAUUCAGUGAAUCAUCGAAUCUUUGAACGCACAUUGCGCCCCUUGGUAUUCCGGGGGGCAUGCCUGUUCGAGCGUCAUUACAACCCUCAAGCUCUGCUUGGAAUUGGGCACCGUCCUCACUGCGGACGCGCCUCAAAGACCUCGGCGGUGGCUGUUCAGCCCUCAAGCGUAGUAGAAUACACCUCGCUUUGGAGCGGUUGGCGUCGCCCGCCGGACGAACCUUCUGAACUUUUCUCAAGGUUGACCUCGGAUCAGGUAGGGAUACCCGCUGAACUUAAGCAUAUCAAUAAGCGGAG
This 529-nucleotide ribosomal RNA is filed under the name fungal sp. E14421A. Its description in RNAcentral is "eukaryotic LSU rRNA". The stretch from base 157 to 310 matches the Rfam family "5.8S ribosomal RNA". The record is from RNAcentral. Lineage: Eukaryota; Fungi.